RNAcentral lists this ribosomal RNA (468 nucleotides) under uncultured bacterium. RNAcentral's name for it is "partial 16S ribosomal RNA". It matches the Rfam family "Bacterial small subunit ribosomal RNA", at positions 28 to 507 of the family's 1533-position model. The record is from RNAcentral.
GACGAACGCUGGCGGCGUGCUUAACACAUGCAAGUCGAACGGAAAGGCCCUGCUUUUGUGGGGUGCUCGAGUGGCGAACGGGUGAGUAACACGUGAGUAACCUGCCCUUGACUUUGGGAUAACUUCAGGAAACUGGGGCUCAUACCGGAUAGGAGCUCCUGCUGCAUGGUGGGGGUUGGAAAGUUUCGGCGGUUGGGGAUGGACUCGCGGCUUAUCAGCUUGUUGGUGGGGUAGUGGCUUACCAAGGCUUUGACGGGUAGCCGGCCUGAGAGGGUGACCGGCCACCUUGGUACUGAGAUACGGCCCAGAAUCCUACGGGAGGCAGCAGUGGGGAAUAUUGCAGAAUGGGCGGAAGCCUGAUGCAGCAACGCCGCGUGCGGGAUGACGGCCUUCGGGGUGUAAACCGCUUUCGCCUGUGACGAAGCGUGAGUGACGGUAAUGGGUAAAGAAGCACCGGCUAACUACGUG